This 404-nucleotide ribosomal RNA is filed under the name uncultured bacterium. RNAcentral describes it as "partial 16S ribosomal RNA". It matches the Rfam family "Bacterial small subunit ribosomal RNA", at positions 355 to 774 of the family's 1533-position model. The record is from RNAcentral.
UGGGGAAUAUUGGGCAAUGGGCGAAAGCCUGACCCAGCGACGCCGCGUGAAGGAAGAAGGUCUUCGGAUUGUAAACUUAUGUUGUCGGGGAAGAACAAAAUGACGGUACCCGGCGAGAAAGCCACGGCAAACUACGUGCCAGCAGCAGCGGUAAUACGUAGGUGGCAAGCGUUGUCCGGAAUUACUGGGUGUAAAGGGUGUGUAGGCGGGAUUUUAAGUCAUGCGUCAAAAUUAUGAGCUUAACUCAUAAGCGCGCGUGAAACUGAAAUUCUUGAGUGCGGGAGAGGUAAGCGGAAUUCCCAGUGUAGCGGUAGAAUGCGUAGAUAUUGGGAGGAACACCGGUGGCGAAGGCGGCUUACUGGACCGUAACUGACGCUGAGACACGAAAGCGUGGGGAGCAAACA